AGUCAAAACUCUACCAAUUGCCAGUGGUGAAGCUGGUAUAAGCCACGUAUCUCUGAGCCAAUUUUCUUAUCAUCAAAGUGAAGACAAUAGCACCAGCCAUACCUUCCUUAGGGCGUUUUGCAGGCUAAAUGAGAUAGUGGGUGAGAAAGCAUCUUCAGAAUUGCUACCCUCUUUUGAACUAUAGUGUUGCUGUUGGUAAUAACAUAAGCAGAGCUGAAUGGGGAGUUCCUAAGCAACCAUCUGAACUCGGGUCCCUCGUUGGCUGCUCGUCAGAUUUCUCUCUUCAAUUCCAAGCGCAUCUUAUGUAAACAAUAGUGUCUAUGAUAGUGGAUGUGAUUGUGUGCUACCUGGAUCUCCUAGCUGAAAUCCUUCGAAGAAUUUCCUUCAGUCAAUGGGAGCCACCUCCCCUGAGGUUAUGGCUCCAGGUGAAGAUUAAACAGCUGUAGAAGUGUCAUCCAAGAUUGGCCAAUGCUGUUCCUGAGAGUCCUUCCUGGAGAGCCAUCUGCACACAGAUCUCAGUCUCAGAGUCUAUUUCCCAAUGAAUCUAAUCUGAGAGAUCUCUUCAUUUGCUGUUUUUUCCCUGUA
Molecule: long non-coding RNA, 585 nt
Filed under: Homo sapiens (human)
Lineage: Eukaryota; Metazoa; Chordata; Mammalia; Primates; Hominidae
Description: novel transcript
Source: RNAcentral